RNAcentral lists this ribosomal RNA (497 nucleotides) under uncultured bacterium. RNAcentral describes it as "partial 16S ribosomal RNA". It matches the Rfam family "Bacterial small subunit ribosomal RNA", at positions 28 to 507 of the family's 1533-position model. The record is from RNAcentral.
GAUGAACGCUGGCGGCGUGCCUAAUACAUGCAAGUCGAGCGAACAGACGAGGAGCUUGCUCCUCUGACGUAAGCGGCGGACGGGUGAGUAACACGUGGAUAACCUACCUAUAAGACUGGGAUAACUUCGGGAAACCGGAGCUAAUACCGGAUAAUAUAUUGAACCGCAUGGUUCAAUAGUGAAAGACGGUUUUGCUGUCACUUAUAGAUGGAUCCGCGCCGCAUUAGCUAGUUGGUAAGGUAACGGCUUACCAAGGCAACGAUGCGUAGCCGACCUGAGAGGGUGAUCGGCCACACUGGAACUGAGACACGGUCCAGACUCCUACGGGAGGCAGCAGUAGGGAAUCUUCCGCAAAGGGCGAAAGCCUGACGGAGCAACGCCGCGUGAGUGAUGAAGGUCUUCGGAUCGUAAAACUCUGUUAUUAGGGAAGAACAAAUGUGUAAGUAACUAUGCACGUUUUGACGGUACCUAAUCAGAAAGCCACGGCUAACUACGUG